GACGAACGCUGGCGGCGUGCUUCAUACAUGCAAGUCGAACGAGAAGCUGACUUCGGUCAGUGGAAAGUGGCGGACGGGCGAGUAAUAUGUAGGAAAUCUGCCUUCAGGAGGGGGACAACAGAGGGAAACUUCUGCUAAUACCCCAUAUGAGCGUAGCUGAAAUGCUAUUCUUGAAAACUCCGGUGCCUAAAGAUGAGCCUGCAUCUGAUUAGCUAGUUGGUAGUGUAAUGGACUACCAAGGCGACGAUCAGUAGCUGGUUCGGGAGUAUGAUCAGCCACAAUCGGACGGAGACACGGGCCAGACACCUACGGGAGGCAGCAGUAGGGAAUUUUGCGCAAUGGGCGAAAGCCUGACGCAGCCACGCCGCGUGAACGAUUAAGCCCUUCGGGGUGUCAAGUUCUGUCAGUAGGGACGAAACUUGACGGUACCCACAGAGGAAGCACCGGCUAACUCCGUG
Molecule: ribosomal RNA, 458 nt
Filed under: uncultured bacterium
Lineage: Bacteria
Description: partial 16S ribosomal RNA
Rfam family: Bacterial small subunit ribosomal RNA
Source: RNAcentral